This 433-nucleotide ribosomal RNA is filed under the name uncultured bacterium. RNAcentral's name for it is "partial 16S ribosomal RNA". It matches the Rfam family "Bacterial small subunit ribosomal RNA", at positions 29 to 507 of the family's 1533-position model. The record is from RNAcentral.
AACGAACGCUGGCGGCAUGCCUAACACAUGCAAGUCGAACGAGACCUUCGGGUCUAGUGGCGCACGGGUGCGUAACGCGUGGGAACCUGCCCUUAGGUUCGGAAUAACUCCCCGAAAGGGGUGCUAAUACCGGAUAAUGUCUUCGGACCAAAGAUUUAUCGCCUUUGGAUGGGCCCGCGUUGGAUUAGCUAGUUGGUAGGGUAAAAGCCUACCAAGGCGACGAUCCAUAGCUGGUCUGAGAGGAUGAUCAGCCACACUGGGACUGAGACACGGCCCAGACUCCUACGGGAAGCUGCAGUGGGGAAUAUUGGACAAUGGGCGAAAGCCUGAUCCAGCAAUGCCGCGUGAGUGAUGAAGGCCUUAGGGUUGUAAAGCUCUUUUACCCGGGAUGAUAAUGACAGUACCGGGAGAAUAAGCGCCGGCUAACUCCGUG